CAGUAGCCGCGGUAAUACGUAGGUGGCAAGCGUUGUCCGGAAUUAUUGGGCGUAAAGCGCGCGCAGGCGGAUAGGUCAGUCUGUCUUAAAAGUUCGGGGCUUAACCCCGUGAUGGGAUGGAAACUGCCAAUCUAGAGUAUCGGAGAGGAAAGUGGAAUUCCUAGUGUAGCGGUGAAAUGCGUAGAUAUUAGGAAGAACACCAGUGGCAAAGGCGACUUUCUGGACGAAAACUGACGCUGAGGCGCGAAAGCCAGGGGAGCGAACGGGAUUAGAUACCCGCGUAGUCCCUGUCUCUUAUACA
RNAcentral lists this ribosomal RNA (301 nucleotides) under uncultured bacterium. RNAcentral describes it as "partial 16S ribosomal RNA". It matches the Rfam family "Bacterial small subunit ribosomal RNA", at positions 509 to 809 of the family's 1533-position model. The record is from RNAcentral.